GGAGAGCCAAAGAGCAAAGUAAAAACAGAAGUGAAGAUCUGCAUCAAACCCAAAAUAAAGACUCUGAGGGUCAACAAGAAGUAUAUAUCUAAGACAAAUGUAGUGGGUCCAGUGAAGUUUGAGGCCAAUGCAAGUGCAAGGAAGCUGCAAGGAAAUGAUAUACGGCAGGGGACAGCAGGUCAGAGCAGCGAGGCACAAACGUCCACAUCCCAGACAGAAAAGGGCUCUGAGGGGAAAUCCAAGAAACGGAACAUUUUUGCCAGAUUCUUUUCAUCCAUCUCCAAGUCUGUGCGGAAAUGCUGUGUGUGCAGCAGAACCUAAUUUUUCAUUUUCUAUU
Long non-coding RNA from Sardina pilchardus (European sardine), 337 nucleotides. RefSeq lists it as uncharacterized. The transcript has 3 exons. NCBI's taxonomy places the organism in Eukaryota, Metazoa, Chordata, Actinopteri, Clupeiformes, Clupeidae. The record is from RefSeq and is a predicted model, not a curated record.